UCGUUGCUGUGCUCUAGUUCGACUAGUGU
RNAcentral lists this small RNA (29 nucleotides) under Bombyx mori (domestic silkworm). RNAcentral describes it as "ovarian small RNA-29358". The record is from RNAcentral. Lineage: Eukaryota; Metazoa; Arthropoda; Insecta; Lepidoptera; Bombycidae.